RNAcentral lists this ribosomal RNA (459 nucleotides) under uncultured bacterium. Its description in RNAcentral is "partial 16S ribosomal RNA". It matches the Rfam family "Bacterial small subunit ribosomal RNA", at positions 338 to 795 of the family's 1533-position model. The record is from RNAcentral.
CCUACGGGAGGCAGCAGUGAGGAAUAUUGGUCAAUGGUCGGGAGACUGAACCAGCCAAGCCGCGUGAGGGAUGAAGGUACAGAGUAUCGUAAACCUCUUUUGUCAGGGAACAAAGGCGGGGACGUGUCCCCGGAUGAGUGUACCUGAAGAAAAAGCAUCGGCUAACUCCGUGCCAGCAGCCGCGGUAAUACGGAGGAUGCGAGCGUUAUCCGGAUUUAUUGGGUUUAAAGGGUGCGCAGGCGGUCUGUUAAGUCAGGGGUCAAAGCCCGGGGCUCAACCCCGGACCGCCGUUGAAACUGGCAGUCUGGAGGUGGAGUGAAGUAUGCGGAAUGCGCGGUGUAGCGGUGAAAUGCAUAGAUAUCGCGAAGAACUCCGAUUGCGAAGGCAGCAUGCCGGCUCCACACUGACGCUGAGGCACGAAAGCGUGGGUAUCGAACAGGAUUAGAUACCCCUGUAGUC